This is an RNA transcript of Salmo salar (Atlantic salmon), 2435 nucleotides long. It is a transcript of the gene named endonuclease V, with no coding region annotated. Lineage: Eukaryota; Metazoa; Chordata; Actinopteri; Salmoniformes; Salmonidae. The record is from RefSeq and is a predicted model, not a curated record.
UUAUCCUUCUGUCUGUGGUACAACCGUUCUUUUAUACGUCAGUGUACAACACGGAAGAAGGUCUUCGCUGCAAUAAUUUGACACUUCUGCUUGUUCACUUCGAAUAACUACAUGUCUAUUCUUCCUCAAGAAGAAUUGGUCAAGAAAUGGGAAAGUGAACAGGCCAGCCUGAGGCAGCAGGUGGUGGAGGAGGACACAGAGGAUUGGCAGAGAUGUCACGACUUCACCGGGCUGGAGAGGGUUGGAGGAGUGGACCUGUCGUUCAUCAAAGGAGAUGACGUCAACGCCUGUGCCCAGCUAGUGGUGCUCAGCUACCCAGACCUAGAGCUGCUGUAUGAGGACAGUCAGAUGGUGACCCUGACCGCCCCCUACAUCUCAGGGUUCCUGGCCUUCAGGGAGACCCCCUAUCUGCUGGAGGCCCUGCAGCGCCUGGAGACGACCCAGCCCAGCCUGCUACCUCAGGUGGUCUUGGUGGAUGGGAAUGGUCUGUUCCACUACAGAGAGUUUGGCCUGGCGUGUCACCUUGGAGUCCUGUCAGGGCUUCCCUGUAUAGGUGUGGCCAAGAACCUCCUGCAGGUGCAGGGUGUAGAGAAGAACGAGGAACACCAGUCACAGAUUGCCUCAUUGCAGAAGGGAGGCGAGAGCUUCCCUCUGACUAGCGACUCAGGAAAAGUGCUGGGGAAGGCCCUGCGUAGUUCUGACAGCAGUACCAAACCAGUGUAUGUUUCAGUGGGCCACAAGAUCAGCCUGGACACGGCCCUGCGCCUCACACACUCCUGCUGCCGCUACCGUGUCCCAGAGCCUAUCAGACAGACGGUCGUCAACGUUGACCCUUGACAAUCCGUAUUGCUGCCAGCCAGCACUCAACCACGUACACACACACACACACACACACACACACACACACACACACACACACACACACACACACACACACAAACACACACUGAUGAUAGCGCAGAGCCAGCAGUGACAGGUUGCCAAGUUUUCUCGUGCUGUGGAAACAACAAUAUGCUCCUGCUACUCAGCGUUUAAUUGCGGUUUGCUGUUGGGACCCAAACACAGGUGCAGGGAGGUUUGCCAAAUAAGGGCACAGGCAUCGUUUAUGCAUUCAGGAAGAGGGACAAAUUGGAGCGUGUACAUUAAUGAGGUGUUUUGGGGUAUCGGAAGUAGGGAUUUGGGUUGACAGGUUGGGUUAAGGAGCUGGGUAUGUAGACUGUUCAUGUGAGAUGGGUUGGGGAUCGUACUGUAGCAAAAUCAUUUUAACUAGGUUGCAGUUGGCACCUGUUCAGAAUGUAAACUUAAACCCCUCGCCUCUUUUUCCAUUCCUCUUCUCCUCUCCUAUCUAUUCCUGUCCUUUCCACUUCCCUUCUUUCAUCUUCUCCCCUCUUCUCCUCUUUUCUUUCCUCUCCUCUAUUCUCCUGCCUUCCUCUCUUUCCUCUCCUCCUCCCCUCCUCACUGUACCUGUUCAACCUGAGAGAAAGAAAAUCCCUCAGUCUGUCUGAUCUCUACAGUUGAGAGCGAGAUGAAAGAGAGAGACGACGUCGCGGUUGGAGUCUGCAGUGAAGUUGAUGGUGCAGAGGGCUGAAGGCAGAGGCACUGCAGCAGAGUCUGUAUGCACAGUAUUCCUUAAAGAGGUGGGGUUUCAGGUGUCUCCGGAAGGUGGUGAUUGACUCCGCUGUCCUGGCGUCGUGAGGGAGCUUGUUCCACCAUUGGGGUGCCAGAGCAGCGAACAGUUUUGACUGGGCUCAGCGGGAACUGUGCUUCCUCAGAGCCCUGAGAGCCCUGAGCUGAGAUACUCAUCCAUUACUCUGCUCUGCAUCUGAAUCAACAGGAAAUGCUAAAGCAGCACUGUUGCUCCCCAGCUGGUUGCCGUAACAAAUGGAUUUUCAAUGUGAGCGAUUGUUGGAGGUAGCGUUAGCGGUGGGCCGUGGUGGGCCUUUGUAGACAGAGGCGGACAUGCGCUCCAGAGAGUACCUCCGUGUCCACUUCCCAACUGCUGCAGACACCUGAGCAUAGAGGAGAUUGGCUGCCAGCCCAAUGCUGAGCCCUUAAUGUCCUUACAGAGGGUAUUCCAGGUACUACUGUUAUCCCAGGACAGCCUCUCUGCAGGGGGAGGUGUGGGAGUGCUGGGAAGUGGACACAUCAUGAAAUGCAAAACACAACAGUGAUGCCUAACAAGAAGAUACCCAAAGAGCCUUCAACGUGCCUGUUAGUGUGUGAAUGUGUUUUUGUGUGUGAGAGAGUGAGUGGGUGCAUGAGAGAGAUUUACAUGAGAUUUAUAGUGUUUUUAUGCAUUCUCUUUAUAUCCACAGUAUAGUCUAUGGGUAUUUUUAAGAAUAGAAGAAUAUAUUUAUAUACUGUACUCAUGUUUUGGGCUCUUUUUACACAGAGAUGCUUUUUAUCCUGUAAAUAAACCCCAACUGAGCCCUGAA